AGCAACACCAAAUCCAGGGGCCCUGCUUCAGGAAGCAUCAGGACUAACUAGAUUUUAUUGGUCAAUAGAUGCAAACAACUGAUUUAGAGCAAACUUCCCCUCCAGUAAAUCAAGCUCCAAAUCAAACAAAGCUAGGGGUCAAAGCGCCUCCAUCCUGGUUGGUCCUGCUCCUAGGGCUGCCCAGCCCCCCAUUUCCCCAGCCCCCCAUCUCUCUAGUUUCUCUCAAGAAGCCAGCGCCACUCCCUGUAUGCACCUCUAGUGUAGGGUUAUCUGGAGCUUUAGGUUCAAAGGAAAGAGUGAGGUCUGCUGCUCCCUUCCUCCCUCCUACCCUGUUCCUCACCAACUCCUGGACGGUCCCCACCAUGGGGUUGAGAACUGGGGCUAUGCUGGGAUGUGUCCGUGACACUGAUCGUGGUGGCCAGAGAGACACCGAGGGAGACUGCUCUGCCACCAGAGAGCUGACAUGAGGAAGGAGCCCCAGACUAAAAACAGUGAGUCUCAGGAGACUUGGGAGGUGGCCGCAGGGAUAACCCAACCCUCCAAUUAACGUGCCUGAGCCAGUCUCCUCCUACGUCUGGAACUUUAGGAGAGCUGCCCACAGCAGAAUGACUCGGCAAGGAGAAGGGCUUGUCGGGUCUAGCUGGGAGCGGAGGUGGGCCAGGCUGCCAGAGGGAGGCUCUGGGUGGUGCCCUUAAGAGUCUCCGUCAUGAGCUGUUUUGCACUGUGAGCAUACCUCCAGAGAAGUGCCGAAAGCUUGCAUUCUUGCAGGUAAUACACCCAGCACCCAGAUCAAGAAACGGAACAUAAUCGGCACCCCAGAACCCCACCCUAAAUAUGUAAUUUUUAAAAAAGAUUUUAAUAAAUAUCUUUUAGCACGCCCUUUAUAUACAUGGUUUACUUUUAACUUUCUGACCCCCUUGCCCUCCUCCUAGAAUAGAAACCUCCCAACAACCAGGGAUUUCUUCUAGACACAGGCAGCUAGAACGAGGCCUGGCACAAAGCAGGUGCCAAAACUACCUGCUGAAUGGAUGAGAGUGCAGAGUGCACCCCAGGUGGUGAAGGCAUUGUUUCUGUGGCGUUCUUGUUUCAUCGUUGUAAAGUCCAUUUCUUUCUGUAGGUCACAGUCAAAACAUUGAGAGCCACGGCUACAACUUGAGCAA
Long non-coding RNA from Nomascus leucogenys (northern white-cheeked gibbon), 1160 nucleotides. RefSeq lists it as uncharacterized. Lineage: Eukaryota; Metazoa; Chordata; Mammalia; Primates; Hylobatidae. The transcript is spliced from 2 exons. The record is from RefSeq and is a predicted model, not a curated record.